ACAGGGAUUGCCCUAGUAACGGCGAGUGAAGCGGCAACAGCUCAAAUUUGAAAUCUGGCCUCCUUUGGGGGUCCGAGUUGUAAUUUGCAGAGGGUGCUUUGGCGUCGGCAGCGGUCUAAGUUCCUUGGAACAGGACAUCACAGAGGGUGAGAAUCCCGUACGUGGUCGCCUGCCUUCGCCGUGUAAAGCCCCUUCGACGAGUCGAGUUGUUUGGGAAUGCAGCUCUAAAUGGGAGGUAAAUUUCUUCUAAAGCUAAAUACCGGCCAGAGACCGAUAGCGCACAAGUAGAGUGAUCGAAAGAUGAAAAGCACUUUGGAAAGAGAGUCAAACAGCACGUGAAAUUGUUGAAAGGGAAGCGCUUGCAGCCAGACUUGCUCGCAGUUGCUCAUCCGGGUCCGCCCGGAGCACUCUUCUGCGAGCAGGCCAGCAUCAGUUUGGGCGACCGGAUAAAGGCCUCUGUCAUGUAUCUUCCUUCGGGAUGACCUUAUAGGGGAGGCGUAAUGCGGCCAGCCCGGACUGAGGUCCGCGCAUCUGCUAGGAUGCUGGCGUAAUGGCUGUAAGCGGCCCGUCUUGAAACACGGAUCAAGGAGUCUAACAUCUAUGCGAGUGUUUGGGUGUCAAGCCCGGGCGCGUAAUGAAAGUGAACGGAGGUGGGAACCCUCUUCGGGGGGUGCACCAUCGACCGAUCCUGAUGUCUUCGGAUGGAUUUGAGUAAGAGCAUAGCUGUUGGGACCCGAAAGAUGGUGAACUAUGCUUGAAUAGGGUGAAGCCAGAGGAAACUCUGGUGGAGGCUCGCAGCGGUUCUGACGUGCAAAUCGAUCGUCAAAUUUGGGCAUAGGGGCGAAAGACUAAUCGAACU
Molecule: ribosomal RNA, 859 nt
Filed under: Phragmocamarosporium qujingensis
Lineage: Eukaryota; Fungi; Ascomycota; Dothideomycetes; Pleosporales; Lentitheciaceae
Description: partial large subunit ribosomal RNA
Rfam family: Eukaryotic large subunit ribosomal RNA
Source: RNAcentral